This 68-nucleotide transfer RNA is filed under the name Marmota monax (woodchuck). Its description in RNAcentral is "tRNA.Ala". The stretch from base 5 to 65 matches the Rfam family "tRNA", at positions 6 to 65 of the family's 71-position model. Rfam says of the family: Transfer RNA (tRNA) molecules are approximately 80 nucleotides in length. Their secondary structure includes four short double-helical elements and three loops (D, anti-codon, and T loops). The record is from RNAcentral. Lineage: Eukaryota; Metazoa; Chordata; Mammalia; Rodentia; Sciuridae.
GGACUGUAGCUCAGUGGCAGAGUGCUUACCUAGCAAGUGUGAGGUACUGGGUUCGAUCCUCAGCACCA